CCAAAUACAAGUUGGUUAACUUAAUCGAAACACCAAACUGCUGUUUAAGGUUCUAACUAGACUCCAGUGGCGGCAAUCUUGGCUACUUUUAUAAAUGGAUGCAAAUGCCAGGGGAAGAUUUGUUGUUGAUGUUCUGUUCAUGGUACUUCUGGUGAUGAAGAAAUGGAUGACAUGAUGAGUGCUGGUUGUGUAUGCUGUAGGCUUUUGGUUUGAGGUUAUUGCACUGAAUUGCUGAGAGCUUCGCACAGGUGGAAUGGCUGAAUAAGUUGCAUCUAGAGACUCACAACAAGAGAAGAUGAUGGCGUGC
Molecule: long non-coding RNA, 307 nt
Organism: Papaver somniferum (opium poppy)
Lineage: Eukaryota; Viridiplantae; Streptophyta; Magnoliopsida; Ranunculales; Papaveraceae
Exons: 3
Source: RefSeq, a predicted model, not a curated record